AUAUAUGGAGAGUUUGAUCCUGGCUCAGGGUGAACGCUGGCGGUAUGCCUAAGACAUGCAAGUCGCACGGACUGUUUUUGCAGUUAGUGGCGGACGGGUGA
This 101-nucleotide ribosomal RNA is filed under the name Meiothermus ruber. RNAcentral's name for it is "partial 16S ribosomal RNA". It matches the Rfam family "Bacterial small subunit ribosomal RNA", at positions 1 to 109 of the family's 1533-position model. The record is from RNAcentral. Lineage: Bacteria; Thermotogati; Deinococcota; Deinococci; Thermales; Thermaceae.